Molecule: ribosomal RNA, 570 nt
Filed under: uncultured Ascomycota
Lineage: Eukaryota; Fungi; Ascomycota
Description: eukaryotic LSU rRNA
Rfam family: 5.8S ribosomal RNA (bases 203-356)
Source: RNAcentral
CUUGGUCAUUUAGAGGAAGUAAAAGUCGUAACAAGGUCUCCGUUGGUGAACCAGCGGAGGGAUCAUUACAGAGUUGCAAAACUCCCAACCCUUUGUGAACGAACCUACCAGUUGCCUCGGCGGCGAGCCUUUCAGGCGGACCGCCGAAGGAAUACAAACUCUUUGCAUUAUAGUAUCUCUGAUUACUUAUUCAAUAAGUUAAAACUUUCAACAACGGAUCUCUUGGUUCUGGCAUCGAUGAAGAACGCAGCGAAAUGCGAUAAGUAAUGUGAAUUGCGGAAUUCAGUGAAUCAUCGAAUCUUUGAACGCACAUUGCGCCCGUUAGUAUUCUGGCGGGCAUGCCUGUUCGAGCGUCAUUUCAACCAUCAAGCCCUAGGCUUGUGUUGGAGCCCUGCGGCUGCCGCAGCCUCCUAAAAACAGUGGCGGGCUCGCUAUUACACCGAGUGCAGUAGUUUACUCUUCGCUCAGGGCGUGUGGCGGGUGCUGGCCGUGAAACCCCCUACUUCUUAAGGUUGACCUCGGAUCAGGUAGGAAUACCCGCUGAACUUAAGCAUAUCAAUAAGCGGAGGA